RNAcentral lists this ribosomal RNA (473 nucleotides) under uncultured organism. Its description in RNAcentral is "partial 16S ribosomal RNA". It matches the Rfam family "Bacterial small subunit ribosomal RNA", at positions 335 to 799 of the family's 1533-position model. The record is from RNAcentral.
ACUCCUACGGGAGGCAGCAGUGGGGAAUUUUGGACAAUGGGCGAAAGCCUGAUCCAGCAAUGCCGCGUGAGUGAAGAAGGCCUUCGGGUUGUAAAGCUCUUUUGUCAGGGAAGAAACGGUGAAAGCUAAUAUCUUUUGCUAAUGACGGUACCUGAAGAAUAAGCACCGGCUACCUACGUGCCAGCAGCCGCGGUAAUACGUAGGGUGCAAGCGUUAAUCGGAAUUACUGGGCGUAAAGCGUGCGCAGGCGGUUUUUGAAGUCUGAUGUGAAAUCCCCGGGCUCAACCUGGGAAUUGCAUUGGAGACUGCAAGGCUAGAAUCUGGCAGAGGGGGGUAGAAUUCCACGUGUAGCAGUGAAAUGCGUAUAUAUGUGGAGGAACACCGAUGGCGAAGGCAGCCCCCUGGGUCAAGAUUGACGCUCAUGCACGAAAGCGUGGGGAGCAAACAGGAUUAGAUACCCCUGUAGUCCCAUG